UUAUAUCGUGAUAUAUUUGACCAGGGUUACCAGGUAACCAGCGGUUAAGAUAAAAUCCCGAUCAUAAACUGAUCGAGUGGAGAAGGCCACAGCCGCACACGAUAAUAUAAUAUCCAUCUUUCAAAUCUUACAAGUAACCGCCUAGUAAACCUAACAAUUCUUUAAUAAUUUUAGGUAAACGCAAAAUAACACUCAGUAUGGGGUCCACCGCACGAAGGGGUAGUGUGGCCACGUCACCAAAUCUCUGUCGUUUAUGAUCCUUGAAUAUCUUUACUGCCAACACGGAGGUCGC
This 292-nucleotide long non-coding RNA is filed under the name Manihot esculenta (cassava). RNAcentral describes it as "long non-coding RNA (MESC_LNC006866)". Lineage: Eukaryota; Viridiplantae; Streptophyta; Magnoliopsida; Malpighiales; Euphorbiaceae. The record is from RNAcentral.